GACGAGCGCUGGCGGCGUGCCUAAUACAUGCAAGUAGAACGCUGAAGGAGGAGCUUGCUUCUCUGGAUGAGUUGCGAACGGGUGAGUAACGCGUAGGUAACCUGCCUGGUAGCGGGGGAUAACUAUUGGAAACGAUAGCUAAUACCGCAUAAUAGUAGAUGUUGCAUGACAUUUACUUAAAAGGUGCAAUUGCAUCACUACCAGAUGGACCUGCGUUGUAUUAGCUAGUUGGUGGGGUAACGGCUCACCAAGGCGACGAUACAUAGCCGACCUGAGAGGGUGAUCGGCCACACUGGGACUGAGACACGGCCCAGACUCCUACGGGAGGCAGCAGUAGGGAAUCUUCGGCAAUGGACGAAAGUCUGACCGAGCAACGCCGCGUGAGUGAAGAAGGUUUUCGGAUCGUAAAGCUCUGUUGUAAGAGAAGAACGAGUGUGAGAGUGGAAAGUUCACACUGUGACGGUAUCUUACCAGAAAGGGACGGCUAACUACGUG
RNAcentral lists this ribosomal RNA (495 nucleotides) under uncultured bacterium. RNAcentral's name for it is "partial 16S ribosomal RNA". It matches the Rfam family "Bacterial small subunit ribosomal RNA", at positions 28 to 507 of the family's 1533-position model. The record is from RNAcentral.